CACGCAGGCGGUCAUACAAGUCAGCUGUUAAAUGCAUGGGCUUAACCGAUGCAUGCGGUUGAAACUGUAUGGCUAGAGUACUGGAGAGGUAAGCGGAAUUCCCGGUGUAGCGGUGAAAUGCGUAGAUAUCGGGAAGAACACCAGUGGCGAAGGCGGCUUACUGGCCAGUAACUGACGCUGAGGUGACGAAAGCCGAGGGGGAGCGAACC
RNAcentral lists this ribosomal RNA (209 nucleotides) under uncultured bacterium. Its description in RNAcentral is "partial 16S ribosomal RNA". It matches the Rfam family "Bacterial small subunit ribosomal RNA", at positions 568 to 774 of the family's 1533-position model. The record is from RNAcentral.